RNAcentral lists this long non-coding RNA (2613 nucleotides) under Panax ginseng (ginseng). RNAcentral describes it as "long non-coding RNA (PGIN_LNC005416)". The record is from RNAcentral. Lineage: Eukaryota; Viridiplantae; Streptophyta; Magnoliopsida; Apiales; Araliaceae.
UCCAGCAAUCAGGCCAUAAGUUAAACUACGUAUUAAAAUCCAUUAGAAUCCCAUAAUGGAGUUUAGUUCAUGAUUGAACCAAAAGCCAAUAUGGGAUCAAAGCAACGUAUGGAAAAUAAACAAACAAUUGAAAGAGAGAAGAUAGUAUUGAUCAAACCCAAUUGUUGAUUACAAUCCCAACAUAAUGUUCAAAUCCUCACUAAUAUCCAGCAACAUAAAAGUAGUUCAUCCACAAUGAUUGAAAAUCUAAAGAAGAAGGAGAAGAUAAUAAGUUUAUGCUUGGUUCAUCAAUGGAAAUCUCUCAAAGUGUAAAUCCUAGUUCUGUUCUGAAAAACACGUAAAAACUAAUGAAAGAUAACGUCUGGUACCAACCAGAAUAGUUUUAACCCACUCAAACUCUUACAAUUUAAAAAUUAAAAUAAAAUUAAUUAGCAGAUGCAGAUGUCGCGCGCAGGCGCGCGAGUUCCAUUUGUAUUCAUCGCGCGGGCGCGUGAGUAUAAAAUCUUCUCAGUCCAGUUGCUGCGCGGGCGCGCGUGUUGAAGACUGUAUAGCCGCAUGGCCGCGCGGCUUCUGCAGUUUGAAUCCUUUGCUCUGCUGCUGCUACUGAUUCUUUGCCAUGCCACUCUUGCUCUUUUGUUCACCACUGCUUAGCUUCUUUUGUCCACUCGAUCCUCAUAUUGUGCCUUCAUUGAUCACAUGCCAUCUCAUGCCAUUUCCUCCACUUUUACACCAAACGAGUUCUCAGUACAUGCACUGCAAAAUAUUAUGAAAUGCAACUAAAAACACACUAAAAUGUACUUUUGAUGGGCAUAGUUCUCGUGAAUUGAUAUCCAAUAAGUAGGUAUAAAACCCACUUAUCAGCAAUACGACACUAAAAUGCCCCCAAACUUAAACUAGACAUUGUCCUCAAUGGCUGAAAUAGAAAAAAGUAAAGCAGAGGACUUCCCUGAAAAUAUAGCAAUCCUCCUAUUUGUUCGCUAAGUUUGGAGAAUAGAUUAGGCACAUGGAAUAAAUUGGCACCACACUUGAAUUAGACUUGAAUAACAUUUUCAUAAUCUUCUACCUAUCCAUUAAACCUCCAAUACCUGCAAUUAAAAGAGACAAUAUGGAUUAGAAUAACACUUGGAUUGGUAAGAGAACUUAAUAAGCAAAUUAAUUCCUAUCUACUAAAUAAACUAGUAAAGCAUAUAAAUAUAAAAAUUCCUGGGUUGCCUCCCAGUUAGCGCUUGGAUUACAGUCUUUCAGCCUGACUUUUUCUGGUCAAUGUUAUCCAAUUCCUCUUCGAUAAUUGAGGAACCCUCCAUCCAUCGGAAAUAAUAUAGCUUUUGGUAAGUUCCCAUUUGUGAUGGCCAAUGCAUCAAAGUCACCUAGCAUGCUCUGAUUUGGUAUGAUCUCAAUCAAGAACGUCCCACAGCUAGGUGUUUUCUCUAUUGUGUAAGUGAUCACUUUGGGGCAGGGAAGCUUGUCACACACAAUGGACUCUUCGUCUAUCUUCUCUUUCUCGUCCCACCAUGGAUUCAAAAUUGUACUCACUCUUAUGUCAUCAAGAGCUUCGCCGACGACAUGACUACCAAGUGGGCAUUGUGGCGACCCCAAAUCCGGAUACUUGAAACCCGAACUCGGUUCUCCACGAUACCAUUUCUUUAAGCUGAAUAAUACUAAAUAAUAAUACAUUCGAACUUAAUUUACAUACAUCAAAGUUUACUUCCCCAGGUACGUGACCUUCAAAUACAUUCCUUACAAUACUUGAAUAGAUACCAAUACAACUAUAACCAUUAACUCAUAAUACACACUUAUUCGAUCAGCUUUCCUUUUCCUUUGUUCGUGCCUGAGCCUUCAGGUUGCUCAUACAUAACUGAAAACAUUUAAUUUAAGCAAGGAUGAGCAUUUGAGUGCCCAGCAAGUAAUAGCAAUUAUAUAUAUAAGCUGAAAGAAUAUAAGUAUUCUCUUUACAUAACACUUCUACAACGAAUCAAAAGUUGUGAAGUAAUCUGUACUGAUAAAAGAUUCACAUAACAACUCUCUUUCAAUUUCUUGAAAUUAGGCUCCACCCAUGAAUAGGGUUUAAGAAACAUACUAUGAACAUUGUUUUUCAUUUUCGAAAAGGUUUAGCAGAAAUUCAUCCGCAAACCGUCAUAACUUACGGGCACGGAGGGUGAUCAGCCCCGUUGUACCCUGUAUUGAUCAAUACUACAUAACUUGAACGAAAUUCAUCGCUCACCCUUUGUCCGCCGAAGCGCAUAAAAAUUUUCCCAUUAUCGGGAUGUUCAUACAUGCCUGGUUCCAAACCCGAAGGUUUUUAAUCUUGCUCAACAAUAAUAUGUAAUUCAACAUAUAUGUAUACGGGUAAUUGACAAAGGUAUAUCAACAUGUGAAUAAAUGCCAUGAUUAUCCAAGUGGGGACACUUGUAUAACCAUUUAGAAAUCAACUUAACAGAAUAUAUAUCUGAGCUAACAUGUUGAUAAUCAAAGCGUACAUAAUCUGUACAGGAAUAGAAUAAUUCUGAAACUUCUUACUCAUGUCCAUUGCAUAAAGGAAAUGCAAAGGUAAGAUACUUGCCUGAUUCGCUGAUUACAAAUCUCAACUUAGGUUUUAUCUCUUUAUCACAACCU